This 447-nucleotide ribosomal RNA is filed under the name uncultured bacterium. RNAcentral's name for it is "bacterial SSU rRNA". It matches the Rfam family "Bacterial small subunit ribosomal RNA", at positions 329 to 793 of the family's 1533-position model. The record is from RNAcentral.
GGCCAGACUCCUACGGGAGGCAGCAGUGGGGGAUAUUGCACAAUGGGGGGAACCCUGAUGCAGCGACGCCGCGUGGGUGAAGAAGCGCCUCGGCGCGUAAAGCCCUGUCAGCAGGGAAGAAAAUGACAGUACCUGAAGAAGAAGCCCCGGCUAACUACGUGCCAGCAGCCGCGGUAAUACGUAGGGGGCAAGCGUUAUCCGGAUUUACUGGGUGUAAAGGGGGCGCAGACGGCGAUGCAAGCCAGGAGUGAAAGCCCGGGGCCCAACCCCGGGACUGCUCUUGGAACUGCGUGGCUGGAGUGCAGGAGGGGCAGGCGGAAUUCCUGGUGUAGCGGUGAAAUGCGUAGAUAUCAGGAGGAACACCGGUGGCGAAGGCGGCCUGCUGGACUGCAACUGACGUUGAGGCCCGAAAGCGUGGGGAGCAAACAGGAUUAGAUACCCCUGUAU